This 229-nucleotide long non-coding RNA is filed under the name Lathyrus oleraceus (garden pea). RNAcentral describes it as "Pisum sativum (pea) long non-coding RNA (PSAT_LNC034392)". Lineage: Eukaryota; Viridiplantae; Streptophyta; Magnoliopsida; Fabales; Fabaceae. The record is from RNAcentral.
AAACAUUUAGGAAGCUAUCACAAUUGGGCCCACAUUCAAAUCAUGCAUUAUUAUCAUUUCAUGAACAUUUGAAGUCAAAGUAAGGCAAAGGAAAGCACAAAUAGGUCAACAGCAAGACUUCAUUCAAAAGUCAACCCAAACAAUCUCAAAAAUCAUCAAAUAAAUCACAUUCAAUCCUAACAUCUAGCAUGGCAAGCAUGUCAAAUUUCAUGGCAUUUGGAUGAGAGGA